Molecule: long non-coding RNA, 1402 nt
Organism: Lathyrus oleraceus (garden pea)
Lineage: Eukaryota; Viridiplantae; Streptophyta; Magnoliopsida; Fabales; Fabaceae
Exons: 2
Source: RefSeq, a predicted model, not a curated record
ACUAGUUAACAUGUAAUUAACACACCAUUAACAAGAAAUGGGCCCUGGUGACUUGGUUGGGCAAAGCAGCUUUAAUCAUAUUGAAACAACCCAUCAAAUUAAUAUCCAACGUAGACUUCACCUCACUCAACUCCAUUUUCUCCAGCUCCAGUGCAGAGAACACUCCAUGGUUCAACAAGAACACAUCAAUAGGCCCCGCUUCAUCAACAGCCUUCUUCACCGCAUCAUAGUCCCACACAUCCGCCGCAAAUACCGCCACCUCGAUUCCCGUAGCGUGACUGAUGGAGCUCUUAGCUUCCUCCAGCUUCGUCAAGGAUCGCGCCAUGAUGGAGACGCGAGCGCCGUCCGCGGCUGCACGGUGGGCGAGGGCGAGGCCGAUUCCGCUGGAUCCGCCAGUGAUGAAGACGUGACGGUUGACGAUUGGGAUCUUGACGGGACGGGGCGGACUAUGAAGUAGAGGAUUGGGAGGAGGAUGAGAGGAAGGAGGACGAAGAAGGAGAAGAAUGCGUCUGCCAUUGAUGCAGCUUCGAAAUCGAAAGGCGGACUCAAUCGGUGACUGCAGGUGCGAUAGCUAUUGGUGACGAUGUACGGCGAAGAAGAUGGCGGUGAAUCUUGUUAUGCAGUGAAGAAGAGGAAGAAUGCAAUGGUGGCUUCCGUGCUUCUGCUUGCAAUGCUUUGAGGAAUCGAUGAUGGUAGAUUCGUUGUGGACAGGUUGAUGAAGCGUGAAGAAUGAAGGUGAAGGAAUGGAACUCGCGAGGGAGUAUUGGUGAGAAACGGAAUGAGUGAAGGUGGUGGUUAGGGAUUGAAGAGAGGUUGCAAUGGUGGUUAACGGUUUUGUGAGUUUGUUACGGUUGUUGAAGGAAUUGAAGAGAGGCUUGGUCCAGUUGUUAGAGGUUGAAGAAGAUUAGGUGAUGGAGGAAGAAGAAGAAGAAUCCGGAAGAGGUUUUUAUAGAGUGGUGAGUGUGAUUUGGAGUUUGUUAGAAAAAUUGUUAGAUUUGUUAUUUUUUCUGUGAAAUCAUGCAGGUUUUGGUAUUGGCUUGUGCUGGCUCGCGUUUAGCUGCGGUUUACCGGCUUAAUUGUAACUGUAGCUUAUUUGGUGCUUGGAAGUAGCUUGGCUUGUAGUUGGAAUUGCAUCGCGUUUUGGCUUGGCGUGUUGCUUCUGUUGGAGUAUUGUGCAGCGUUUGGAGCGAAGCUCGUAGCAUUGUGGAGCGUUUGGAAGCACUUUGUGUAGCAGCUUUGGCCUGCGUUAUUAUUUUCCUUCCUCUUUGUAGCAGCUUUUUUCAAAUUGCUUUUCCUAUUAUUAUUUUUCCAUUUGGCUUAUUGGAUAUUGGAUACUGUAAACUAUAAAUGGGUAUGUACAUGGAUUUGGACAAUUCAAUGAAUUUGGAUAUUAGGAAUUGGA